Molecule: non-coding RNA, 2284 nt
Organism: Labrus bergylta (ballan wrasse)
Lineage: Eukaryota; Metazoa; Chordata; Actinopteri; Labriformes; Labridae
Source: RefSeq, a predicted model, not a curated record
CUUUUAAACAAAGCAGAAAGUCAAAAAUAAAUUAUUGAUCUAAGCAUUUUACUUUUCAGAUGAUUACCAAGGCACUUCCCAUGCACCAGAGGUGCACUUUGUGGAUAAACACCAGUGUGACCUGAAAGCAAGGGUGAACAAUAUUGGACCAAUAUUGGAUAAGCUACUGGAAAAAGGUGUAAUCCGUCAAGAAGUUUAUGAUAAAAUAAGAGAUACCCCAACCACUCAGGAUAAGAUGAGGAAGCUCUAUCGUGGUCCCCUAAGAGCUGGAGGACAAAAAGCAAAAGACGUCUUCUACCAAAUCCUUGAGGAGGAGGAGUCAUAUCUUGUGGAUGAUCUCAAAAGGAAGGAGUCUGGAGCGGGAGCAAUCUGGAAUUAAGUGUCUUGCCCAAGUACUCAUCGGACAUGUUGCUCAGGAGCUGCGGAUCGAACCGGUUGAGAGAAGACCGUCUUUACCAAUGAACCACAUUCAGGAAAAGAAAAGUGUUUUUUGCCAGUGACCAAAAGACUGCAUAUCACAUUUCAAUACAAGGCUUCAGAUUUAAUUAAGGACAUACAAUGAAAGAUGGCUGAGUUAUCUUUCAGAAAACUGAAGCUAUAAUCAGCUGUCUCUCCGCAAACACAGCAAGACUCCUUCAUACUAAAAAAAAAGUAUAUUCAAAUGUAGUGUUGUAGUCAUGACCGCUCUAACCGAGACCAAGAAAUACCCGAGACGAGAAUACUCCGAGACCGAGAAGAACAAGACAUUUAAGGAUCGAGACUGAGUCCAUAACCAAGACCAAGGCAGGUCGAGACCGAGACAAGAACUCGACCAUAAAUAUCAAUGAAAAAUCAUUAUCUUGUGUGCAGGGGGACAUGCCACUAAUUUAGACCGUUACACUGGGAAGGUCUGGAGUCCGCCUUGUCUGAUACCGAGACAAGACCGAGCCAAAAUGCUUGCGAUUCCUACACGAGAUCAAGACCUCUACCGUUCAAGUAAUACAACACUGUUCAUAUGUAUAUCCACAUUUUAACCUUCCACGAUUCUGCAUAUAGAACCUUGUUUUUAAAAUUUUUGGAACAAAUAAUAAUUUUUUUAAUGAAGUCUAUUUUCUUGCAUUUCUCGUGUGCCAACAUGAAAGUUAGAAUCUGUAGAGGAGAAGAUGGUACUCUUCUGCAAAAUGCUGUCGAAAAAUGUUUCUGUGAUACCUAUUGUAGGACCGAACGUCCAGUCAACCUGUACAAACAAUUAUUUUCAUACACAAAGAUAUGUGACAUAUUGUUUGAAUAGUUUGACUCCCUGGGCAUUUAUCAAAAAAAAAAAUAACCUUGGGACACCUAAUAUAGUCUAAUCUGAACUGUUGCCCUACAUCAUAUAGGCUACUUACUUUUCAAUUGAUGGUAAUCUGAUUGUAAUGUGUGCUGCUCAUUUAUUUGUUUCAUUUUUACGAGAAGAGGAUAUUAUGCAAAAUAAGCUCUUCUCAAACGUGUGUGUGCACAAUUUGUAUUUUAUUUUGUUUUAUUACUUUUAUUUUACCCAUAUUAAAUUAGUAUUAAAUUGAUAUUAAAAUUAAAUUGAUCACAAGACAUUUGAAAAUAAACUGCUCACAAAAACCAAGGGAACACUUAAAUCACAAAUCAGAUGUUGGUGAACGAAUUGUUUAAGUGGAACAUCUUCAGUGACAUAGCCUAUACGUUGUAUGAUUUGUUAGGAACAAAUUGACGUAGCUAACGAGGGUCAAUUGAAACCAAAAUCUUCAACCCAUUGAGGGCUGGAUUCCAAAUCACAGCGAAAGUAAAAACUACUGAAAUCCCAGCCUUAUCCAACUUUCAUCACAACAUCUCUUAAUUUGACUCAGUCUGUAUAAACUGUAUGCACUCCUGACAAUGUCUGGACAUCCUCCUGAUGAGUCGUCGGAUGGUGUCCUGGGGGAUCUCCUCCCAGACCCCCAGGUGUUGAUCAGUCAUAGUUGCUGCAUGGCCGACGGAGAGCAGCACUGCUAAAAGAAACAACUCUUAACUGGAUCUUUUAAAAUAUACAAUGAAUUAAUUAAUGACAAAUUUUAAAGAAACAGAAAUAAAGAGAAAAUAUAAAGAAUUUAGGUACUUAUCCAGUUUUUGCUUUCCCUGUCUUGCUUGUUUUAUACUCCGGUCCAAUAGGUCCGGUGGCGGUAAUGCGCCUUUAAGCUGGUUUCCUACCGCCAUUAAACCCAACAGUGGAAGAAGACGAGCAGAAGAAGAAAAAGGGGCAGCUCCUAUUCACAUCUGAUCUGAACUCCACAUGAGCCACUGCCUGACCAUAGAC